RNAcentral lists this ribosomal RNA (468 nucleotides) under uncultured bacterium. Its description in RNAcentral is "partial 16S ribosomal RNA". It matches the Rfam family "Bacterial small subunit ribosomal RNA", at positions 28 to 507 of the family's 1533-position model. The record is from RNAcentral.
GACGAACGCUGGCGGCGUGCUUAACACAUGCAAGUCGAACGGAAAGGCCCUGCUUUUGUGGGGUGCUCGAGUGGCGAACGGGUGAGUAACACGUGAGUAACCUGCCCUUGACUGUGGGAGAACUACAGGAAACUGGGGCUAAUACCGGAUAGGAGCUCCUGCUGCAGGGUGGGGGUUGGAAAGUUUCGGCGGUGGGGGAUGGUCUCGCGGCUUAUCAGCUUGUUGGUGGGGUAGUGGCUGACCAAGGCUUUGACGGGUAGCCGGCCUGAGAGGGUGACCGGCCACAUUGGGCCUGCGAUACGCCCCAGACUCCUACGGUCGGCAGCAGUGGGGAAUCUUGCACAAUGGGCGGAAGCCUGAUACAGCAACGCCGCGUGCGUGAUGCCGUCCUUCGGGUUGUAAACCGCUUUCGCCUGUGACGAAGCGUGAGUGACGGUAAUGGGUAAAGAAGCACCGGCUAACUACGUG